This 791-nucleotide ribosomal RNA is filed under the name uncultured Bacillota bacterium. Its description in RNAcentral is "bacterial SSU rRNA". It matches the Rfam family "Bacterial small subunit ribosomal RNA", at positions 68 to 892 of the family's 1533-position model. Lineage: Bacteria; Bacillati; Bacillota. The record is from RNAcentral.
GAGAAAGUGGAGCAAUCCAUGAGUAAAGUGGCGCACGGGUGAGUAACACGUGGGUAAUCUGCCUCUGGGUGGGGAAUAACUCUGGGAAACCGGAGCUAAUACCGCAUAAGCCUGAAAGGGGAAAGGCGAAAGUCGCCGAGAGAGGAGCCCGCGGUCGAUUAGCUAGUUGGUGGGGUAAAGGCCUACCAAGGCAGUGAUCGAUAGCCGGCCUGAGAGGGCACACGGCCACACUGGCACUGAAACACGGGCCAGACUCCUACGGGAGGCAGCAGUGGGGAAUCUUGCACAAUGGGGGAAACCCUGAUGCAGCGACGCCGCGUGAGCGAUGAGGCCCUUCGGGGUGUAAAGCUCUUUCGACCCGGAAGAUAAUGACGGUACGGGGAGAAGAAGCUGCGGCUAACUACGUGCCAGCAGCCGCGGUAAUACGUAGGCAGCGAGCGUUGUUCGGAGUUACUGGGCGUAAAGAGUGCGUAGGCGGCGGCCCAAGUCUGGUGUGAAAUCUCCCGGCUCAACCGGGAGGGUGCGCCGGAAACUGGGUUGCUGGAGUACUGGAGAGGCAGGCGGAAUUCCUGGUGUAGCGGUGAAAUGCGUAGAUAUCAGGAGGAACACCCGCGGUGUAGACGGCCUGCUGGACAGUCACUGACGCUGAGGCACGAAAGCGUGGGGAGCAAACAGGAUUAGAUACCCUGGUAGUCCACGCCCUAAACGAUGCAUACUUGGUGUGGGCAGUUCAGUCUGUCCGUGCCGAAGCUAACGCGAUAAGUAUGCCGCCUGGGGAGUACGGUCGCAAG